Molecule: microRNA precursor, 203 nt
Filed under: Oryza rufipogon (brownbeard rice)
Lineage: Eukaryota; Viridiplantae; Streptophyta; Magnoliopsida; Poales; Poaceae
Description: MIR812 microRNA precursor family
Rfam family: MIR812 microRNA precursor family
Source: Rfam by way of RNAcentral
AAUAAGUACAGUUUUGCACUAUUCACGUUCAACGUUUGACCGUCCGUCUUAUUUGAAAAUCUUUUAUUUUUAUUGUUGCUAUUAGAUGAUAAAACAUGAAUAGUACUUUAUGUGUGACUAAAUGUUUUUAAUUUUUUCAUAAAUUUUUCAAAUAAGACGGACGGUCAAAUGUUAAACGUGAAUAGUGCAAAACUGCACUUAUU